Molecule: ribosomal RNA, 278 nt
Filed under: uncultured crenarchaeote
Lineage: Archaea; Thermoproteati; Thermoproteota
Description: partial 16S rRNA
Rfam family: Archaeal small subunit ribosomal RNA
Source: RNAcentral
GAGACCCUUACUGCUAAUUGCUAUCUGCCCAGAGAUGGGCGGAGGCUAGUUAUCAGGACUGCCGCUGCUAAAGCGGAGGAAGGAGAGGGCCACGGCAGGUCAGUAUGCCCCGAAACUCCUGGGCCACACGCGGGCUGCAAUGGUAGGGACAGUGGGUCCCGACCUCGACAGAGGAAGGCAAUCCUCAAACCCUACCCCAGUUGUGAUUGAGGGCUGAAACCCGCCCUCAUGAAUAUGGAAUCCCUAGUAACCGCGUGUCAUCACCGCGCGGUGAAUAC